GAUGAGCAUGCGUCCCAUUAGCUAGUUGGUAAGGUAACGGCUUACCAAGGCUACGAUGGGUAGGGGUCCUGAGAGGGAGAUCCCCCACACUGGUACUGAGACACGGACCAGACUCCUACGGGAGGCAGCAGUGAGGAAUAUUGGACAAUGGGCGCAAGCCUGAUCCAGCCAUGCCGCGUGCAGGAUGACGGUCCUAUGGAUUGUAAACUGCUUUUGUACGGGAAGAAACACUCCUUCGUGAAGGAGCUUGACGGUACCGUAAGAGUAAGGAUCGGCUAACUCCGUGCCAGCAGCCGCGGUAAUACGGAGGAUCCAAGCGUUAUCCGGAAUCAUUGGGUUUAAAGGGUCCGUAGGCGGUUUAGUAAGUCAGUGGUGAAAGCCCAUCGCUCAACGGUGGAACGGCCAUUGAUACUGCUAGACUUGAAUUAUUAGGAAGUAACUAGAAUAUGUAGUGUAGCGGUGAAAUGCUUAGAGAUUACAUGGAAUACCAAUUGCGAAGGCAGGUUACUACUAAUGGAUUGACGCUGAUGG
RNAcentral lists this ribosomal RNA (531 nucleotides) under uncultured Bacteroidota bacterium. Its description in RNAcentral is "bacterial SSU rRNA". It matches the Rfam family "Bacterial small subunit ribosomal RNA", at positions 224 to 752 of the family's 1533-position model. The record is from RNAcentral. Lineage: Bacteria; Pseudomonadati; Bacteroidota.